This 21-nucleotide non-coding RNA is filed under the name Caenorhabditis elegans. The record is from RNAcentral. Lineage: Eukaryota; Metazoa; Nematoda; Chromadorea; Rhabditida; Rhabditidae.
UAGAUAUAACUAAAUCAAGAA